GCCUCCGCCGCCUCCUCCGGCCGGCUCGCCUCCCCCCGCCGCCGCGGCCUCCCCCUGCCGCUCGGCCACUGCUGCCUUGCUGCUCUUCUCCCCCGGCUCGCCUCCGCUGCCCCCCGCCGUGGGGGCUGUUGGGCAUGACCCUGACCGCGGCGCCAUCCGGCAACAGCCAUCAUCCUGCCUGGCCGACAGCCAGCGACGACGAGCAGGAGGAGCAGGAUGUAUACCUGGGUAAGCAGUACUCCUACAGCUGCUGCAAAUCGAACCCUAGCCCGGCAACGGAAGAGGAGGAUGAGGAGGAGCGGCUCCGGCUCGGAGGCUGGGAUCGUGCGUUCUGAUUUUGCAUGUCGUUUUGUUUUGUUAGCCCCAUUUCCUGCUGGUUCGAUGCAACUGGUUUGAAUUAGAUUCUGUUCUUGCGUAUGCUUCGUAAAUCAUAACAAUGGCUAGUUCAAGCAAAAGUUUCCAGUCUUCAAGCAAACUAGUCAGUGAUAAGAAGUAUCAGGGUGCAUUGGUUGCUUCUCCAGCUAAAACCAUUUCACCCAAGACAGUCAAGCAUAUUGUGCCAGCAAAACAUUUAAUCUUGAGUGGGGAGUCUACAAGUCAUUUGGCAUCCUUUUUUGUAAAGGUUGUUGCCCUGGAAGUAAUACGAAGAUUCGCAAAAGUAAGAUGUCCUUUUAUAUGGAAUUCUAUUCAAGCAUUGCAAGUUCGUGAUACCCUCCAUUUAGGUGGAUUCAACAGUGGGCGUGACUCAAAUUUAUUGUGCAAGGCAUUCAGAUAUUAGUGAGCUAAACCUACCCAAGAGCACAUCAAUUUCUUUUCCCAACGACAAGGAUGAUCUGAUGAAUUUUGAGAUUAUCGUCCGACCUGAUGAAGGAUAUUACCUAGGUGGCACUUUCGUCUUUACUUUUCAAGUAUCCCCUUAUCCUCAUGAGCCUCCAAAGGUCAAGUGCAAUACAAAGGUUUGACCUUUGGUUUGCAUAUCAGGCUUAACUUCAGUUUUUGCCCUUUGGAGCCUUGGAGGCUGCAUACAGGUGGGACCUUUGGUUUGCAUAUCAGGCUUAACUUCAGUUUUUACCCUUUGGAGCCUUGGAGGCCGCAUACAGGCAUCUCUUGAUUGUACCAGUCUUGGCCACUUGAAGGGCAGUUGCUUCUUUGACAGUACAAAAAGUGCUUUCAUUUGUCAAUGGGAUUUAAGGGAAAAGAAGGGCUUGCGAUAAGGAGAGAAGAAAAGAAAAGAAGACAGGGAAAAGAAAGAACAAACUUAUUUAAAUUUUCCACAUAUCCAUUAUAAAAAUUGAUCGUGUUUCUACUAUACUAUCCAUCCGUUCGCCCACCUUGCCCAAGUGGGCCGAUCGGGCCACGCCACCCAUGUUGCGUGCACUGUGUGGGUCUUCGGUCUGCCCGAGUGAUCUACCUUAAGUUGGUUGUCGCAUGUAAAAUAGUGGUAGUGCAUUCGCUUCGUAAGCGAAAGGUCACCGGUUCAAUCCUUGUCGAGAGCAUGUUUUUGUGUUUCUUUAUUUUCUUUUUAGUAGUUGCCCGUUGAAAACCAUCAUUUCAACAUGAUUCACACUCAAUUUUAGUAAAGAAAGCUUUGUAGCUCAAUGGUUAAGACAUUGGUCAUGGACUUACAUGUGCUACGUUUAAAUCAUAGAAAGUUAUAUUUAAUUUCUGUUUUUCACCUACCGGUACGAUC
This is an RNA transcript of Oryza brachyantha (malo sina), 1690 nucleotides long. RefSeq lists it as uncharacterized. Lineage: Eukaryota; Viridiplantae; Streptophyta; Magnoliopsida; Poales; Poaceae. The transcript is spliced from 8 exons. The record is from RefSeq and is a predicted model, not a curated record.